AUCUAGCUAACGAAUCCUAAAUAGGACGGAACACGCGUCCUAAAU
This is a non-coding RNA of Schistosoma curassoni, 45 nucleotides long. The record is from Rfam. NCBI's taxonomy places the organism in Eukaryota, Metazoa, Platyhelminthes, Trematoda, Strigeidida, Schistosomatidae.